Molecule: ribosomal RNA, 358 nt
Filed under: uncultured bacterium
Lineage: Bacteria
Description: bacterial SSU rRNA
Rfam family: Bacterial small subunit ribosomal RNA
Source: RNAcentral
UCCAUUCAGUAGCAAUACUGAGGAAGACCUAGUGGCGAACGGGUGAGUAACACGUGAGGAACCUGCCCCGAAGACUGGGAUAACGCUCCGAAAGGAACGCUAAUACCGGAUACCUUCACCAAGCCGCAUGACCUGGUGAAGAAAUGGAUUCCGCUUCGGGAGGGUCUCGCGGCCUAUCAGCUUGUUGGUGGGGUAACGGCCCACCAAGGCUUCGACGGGUAGCUGGUCUGAGAGGACGAUCAGCCACACUGGGACUGAGACACGGCCCAGACUCCUACGGGAGGCAGCAGUGGGGAAUCUUGCGCAAUGGGCGAAAGCCUGACGCAGCAACGCCGCGUGGGGGAUGAAGGCUCUCGGG